UACGGAGGGGGCUAGCGUUGUUCGGAAUUACUGGGCGUAAAGCGCACGUAGGCGGCCAUUCAAGUCAGAGGUGAAAGCCCGGAGCUCAACUCCGGAAUUGCCUUUGAAACUAGGUGGCUUGAACGUCGGAGAGGUGAGUGGAAUUCCGAGUGUAGAGGUGAAAGUCGUAGAGAUGCGGGAGAACACCAGUGGCGAAGGCGGCUCACUGGACGACUGUUGACGCUGAGGUGCGAAAGCGUGGGGAGCAAACAGG
RNAcentral lists this ribosomal RNA (253 nucleotides) under uncultured bacterium. RNAcentral's name for it is "partial 16S ribosomal RNA". It matches the Rfam family "Bacterial small subunit ribosomal RNA", at positions 524 to 776 of the family's 1533-position model. The record is from RNAcentral.